This is a long non-coding RNA of Cyprinus carpio (common carp), 1074 nucleotides long. Lineage: Eukaryota; Metazoa; Chordata; Actinopteri; Cypriniformes; Cyprinidae. The record is from Ensembl.
GUCAAUAAGGCGCUGCUGGCUCAUUUGAGGGAAUGUAAAUCUUUACAAAAAUAAUAGCCUGUGUAGUGAAAUAUUUUAAUACAGGUUGACAUGAUUGCUUUAGAUUAAUUUUAUCCCGUUUCUGUGUCUAGAAUAAGCCAAGCUGUGCUCUCGCCAGAUCCAGUACGAGCACUUAAAAGAAGCAUGCUACCUUUAUAGCAAAGUUUCGCGGUACAACUGUGAUCUUGAACAGCGCCCCACAGAGGUUUGUUUCUGGUCAGAGGUCUAUUGUGUGGCUAGUAGAUCAGACAGACUCCUGCAGUUGUUUAGCAAUGUAAUCCCAAGUCAUUUGUCACAGUACAGAGCAGGUGCAGUAGCUAUGCAUGCACAAGAGGAGAUCAAUGCAAUUAGCAGCCAAUGCAAAGGACUUCAAUACUAAUGUAAGUGAACACACAUGACAGAGAGAGGUCAGAGAGAAAAAGAGGGAGAGAAAGAGAUAUGUCUGUUUGAGUAAUAUGCAAUUAAGGGCAUAUUAUAAUUUGGCUAAUGUGUGUGUUUUAGAUAUUUAACACCUUUACAAAUGGUAACACUGGAUCCCUACUGUAGAAUGCAGUAUCCUCAUGCUGCAAUGCAAUAUCUUGGAUGACAGUGGGCAUGAACAGACUGUCUAGACCAAUGUUUCCCCAGCCUUUUUUAUGUAGUCAAAACAGAAAUGUAUUCAGGCUACAACUCAAACUACUCAAAUGCAAGUGUGAUUUUGCUCUAUAAACAAAAUUGAAUAUUGAGUAACAGGAAGCUUUCCGCUAUAGAGGUUUUUUUAUAGGCAUUUGAACAUUUCGAAUUUCAGUGACUCUUUCUGGUACACCAGUAGGUGGCACUGAUUGUUGUUCUGUGUUAUGAGCGAGUCAUUGAAUCAUUAAGCAACUGAUUCGAUAACAGCUUCCAAAAUCGCAUACUAAUUGUACACUCACCUUUUCACAUACAUUUUUUUAUAUAUAGUAGGGCAGUAAGCCACUCACCAACUAAAUGUUAUUUAACAACGUGAAAGAUUUUAAAUCUUACUAUAAUCAGUCUUUAAAGCAGCAGAGGAGCCAC